Molecule: long non-coding RNA, 453 nt
Filed under: Homo sapiens (human)
Lineage: Eukaryota; Metazoa; Chordata; Mammalia; Primates; Hominidae
Description: non-protein coding LINC01535:9
Source: RNAcentral
GGCGGGUAUAGUGGUUCCGCAACCUUGGGAUGUUCGGCUGAGCGCCUGCCUAACAUGGGAGCGCCUGCCUAACCCUCCUGACUGGAGGGUCAGCGGCGGGGAGUCCUGGCCUUCAAUCGGCCAUCGCCACGGCAGAAACUGGGGCCCGGGCUGCGUCCAGGCCCUUCCCCGUCCGUCCACAGGUCUCAUGGGCGCCCGGACUGGGGCUGAUGUAGUUUCCCGACCUCUGACACAUAGGAUCUGGAGAUUAAAGCUGCUCUGCUAAUAAUUAGGUUCCCACCUCUCAAGAUCAUUAGGAGCUUCUUUUCCAAUUCCUCUGUUUUGCAUGCAUUGGAAGGAUCUGGAGCUCAGGACCCACUACCUCCCCGGCCCACUGCAAGCUUGAACAUUUGAUGGUGGACACCCCUCCCUGACUUUGUAUUAUGUGUCACUGGUGUGGGGGUUACCUUCCCA